GUUGUUGCUUUGCUUGCCAAGGAUCAUCCUUCUGGCAUGAUGGAAGUACCUGAGGUCCAGGCAGUAUCCUUAGUACUUUUUACAGAAAACUGAUAUCAUUAACUCAAUGCCCAUGACUCUUAAACCGAGACCUUAUAAAGCAGAAUACUUUAAGUUCAAAAAUUUGAAAAGUAAUAAUAAUAAGAUAAAUGAGUACAAUAUGAAAGAAUGAAAGAGAGAAGAUUUUAGUCCUUUUGUCUGAAUCUUCACACUGAGAUCUGUAGAAUAACACAUGGAAACCAGCUUUAGUAGGUGUCAUUUUAAAUUAGCUGUGCCAGCAUUUUCAUAUUUGUCAGGGUUUGGAAGAAUUGGCUUCCAAAGUUCACUCUGCUCUCUGAUGUUCAAGUUCACUGUGAAUCUUUUUCAUUGUUUGUCGGCAAACACUGACUGGAAAUACCAGCAGAUGGUCAAAACAUUCUAGAUUUUUUUGUACUUAGAUCAGCAGCAGAAAAUACAAACUAUUUUGAGAGCGCUCUAAAAGUUCUCAAAAAAAGAGUCAAUUAAAACAUUCUUCUUAAAGACAAAAAUAACUAACAUUGUCUUUUCAUUAUUUUGCAUCUGGACAAAAUGUUUUUUAAAUUACCUGCAUGGGAACAAAAUAAAGCAAAUGUUAUUACUACAGAAUACAACCUAACAGCUUUCAUUUUUUUUUAGCAAGCUCAGUAUGCUGCUGUAUUAUUCUGUCUUCCAAAUUCAUGAUGAUGACAUUUCUGACCCAGCAGCCAAAUUCAUAUUCUUUUCCAGAUCUGGCCAAUCUCAUAAACAGAGAUCUUAGGUACUUCAAAGUGAGCUCCAUCCUUACAAAGCACACAGAAGAAUGCCAAGAAGCUUAGUAUCAAACCUCAGAAGCAAAAAUAAAUGUGAAAAAUCAAUGCUAGCUAGCUCAGAAUCUGAAUUUUAUUUUUGUCAAUGCAGAAUUCCAUCAGAAAACUUCUGAUUAGUGUCUGGCAAAUUAUUCCAUCAAAUAUAAAGGCAGGAGAAUUAUAGAGAUUUCUCACACUUUUAAAAGUAACAAUCUGAGAUACCACUUACUGUUGACAGUGUGCCAAAAGUUAAGAAAAUUCAAGCAUGACAUUGGCCAGGUUGUGAGAUUUUCCUUUGGGCCAAGCAUGAAUGAAGAAUAAUGUCCAAUAGUAACUGUGUGUUGUAAAUAGCUUGGCAAAAAUUCUGUGUACAUAAGAAAUAAAUGUAUAUAAGGUUUGUAGCUAGUGAAUAAAGUAUUUUCAAGUUGCGAUAAUUAUACUGAACAUUAACAGAUUUAAUACAUUCAUUACCCUUUGUAUGUAUGGUAUAUGUAACAGAUUUAAUUUAUUUUUAUUUUCCUUUAAAAUCAUU
This 1374-nucleotide long non-coding RNA is filed under the name Capra hircus (goat). RNAcentral's name for it is "lncRNA (ENSCHIG00010006652.1)". Lineage: Eukaryota; Metazoa; Chordata; Mammalia; Artiodactyla; Bovidae. The record is from RNAcentral.